RNAcentral lists this transfer RNA (65 nucleotides) under Thylacodes aureus. RNAcentral describes it as "tRNA-Leu". The record is from RNAcentral. Lineage: Eukaryota; Metazoa; Mollusca; Gastropoda; Littorinimorpha; Vermetidae.
UUUGAAGUGGCAGAGAAGUGCGCUAGAUUUAAGCUCUAGAUAUAAAAGUUAGCUUUUCUUCGUUG